AUUGAACGCUGGCGGCAUGCUUUACACAUGCAAGUCGAACGGUAGAGGGGGCAACCCCUUGAGAGUGGCGAACGGGUGAGUAAUGCAUCGGAACGUGCCCAGUAGUGGGGGAUAGCCCGGCGAAAGCCGGAUUAAUACCGCAUACGACCUUAGGGUGAAAGCGGGGGAUCGCAAGACCUCGCGCUAUUGGAGCGGCCGAUGUCAGAUUAGGUAGUUGGUGGGGUAAAGGCCUACCAAGCCAACGAUCUGUAGCUGGUCUGAGAGGACGACCAGCCACACUGGGACUGAGACACGGCCCAGACUCCUAUGGGAGGCAGCAGUGGGGAAUUUUGGACAAUGGGCGCAAGCCUGAUCCAGCCAUGCCGCGUGCGGGAAGAAGGCCUUCGGGUUGUAAACCGCUUUUGUCAGGGAAGAAAUCUUCUGGGCUAAUACCCUGGGAGGAUGACGGUACCUGAAGAAUAAGCACCGGUUAACUACGUGCCAGCCGCCGCCGUAA
This 496-nucleotide ribosomal RNA is filed under the name uncultured bacterium. Its description in RNAcentral is "partial 16S ribosomal RNA". It matches the Rfam family "Bacterial small subunit ribosomal RNA", at positions 30 to 523 of the family's 1533-position model. The record is from RNAcentral.